This 444-nucleotide ribosomal RNA is filed under the name Triticum aestivum (bread wheat). Its description in RNAcentral is "partial small subunit ribosomal RNA". The record is from RNAcentral. Lineage: Eukaryota; Viridiplantae; Streptophyta; Magnoliopsida; Poales; Poaceae.
AUGUCUACCUGUGUAGGUUCACAUCUGAGCCUGGGCUCAGAUGCGGAUUUUCGUCUAUUUAUGAACUUCUCUGUGCUGGAGCUACAUCUCACAGCAAUGGAGCAUGUUUCGGGAGGACUCGUGUCACGCCUUCUCGAGAUGCAUCAUGUUCAAACCGCUACACAAAGGCUUAAGGUCAACCUAUAUUAUUACUACGGGAAGAGAAAAGCAUGCGGAAAUUGUCCUUGCGACGAACCUAAGAACCGGAUAAUCCAAAGUAUCUCAAUGCCUCGUCUUAAAGAAGUGGAAAUAUGUGGCUUCAAAGGAGAGCAUUGCCAGCUUGAUUUGUUGACAUUGAUAUGCAGAUGCGCUCUAAUGCUUAGAACAAUGCCCGUGAAGUCGGCGAAAGGGCUUAACAGAGAGAACUUUCGAGGCGGCAUCAGAAAAUUUGCAAUAUUUUCUUAG